This 301-nucleotide ribosomal RNA is filed under the name uncultured bacterium. Its description in RNAcentral is "partial 16S ribosomal RNA". It matches the Rfam family "Bacterial small subunit ribosomal RNA", at positions 509 to 807 of the family's 1533-position model. The record is from RNAcentral.
CAGCCGCCGCGGUAAUACGGAGGGAGCUAGCGUUGUUCGGAAUUACUGGGCGUAAAGCGUGCGUAGGUGGUUGUUUAAGUCUGCUGUGAAAGCCCUGGGCUCAACCUGGGAAUUGCAGUGGAUACUGGGUCACUAGAGUGUGGUAGAGGAUAGUGGAAUUUCCGGUGUAGCAGUGAAAUGCGUAGAGAUCGGAAGGAACAUCUGUGGCGAAGGCGACUAUCUGGGCCAACACUGACACUGAGGCACGAAAGCGUGGGGAGCAAACAGGAUUAGAGACCCCUGUAGUCCCUGUCUCUUAUAC